UACGAAGGGGGCUAGCGUUGCUCGGAAUCACUGGGCGGAAAGGGUGCGUAGGCGGGUCUUUAAGUCAGGGGUGAAAUCCUGGAGCUCAACUCCAGAACUGCCUUUGAUACUGAAGAUCUUGAGUUCGGGAGAGGUGAGUGGAACUGCGAGUGUAGAGGUGAAAUUCGUAGAUAUUCGCAAGAACACCAGUGGCGAAGGCGGCUCACUGGCCCGAUACUGACGCUGAGGCACGAAAGCGUGGGGAGCAAACAGG
This 253-nucleotide ribosomal RNA is filed under the name uncultured bacterium. RNAcentral describes it as "partial 16S ribosomal RNA". It matches the Rfam family "Bacterial small subunit ribosomal RNA", at positions 524 to 776 of the family's 1533-position model. The record is from RNAcentral.